GAUGAACGCUGGCGGCGUGCCUAAUACAUGCAAGUCGAGCGAACGGACGAGAAGCUUGCUUCUCUGAUGUUAGCGGCGGACGGGUGAGUAACACGUGGAUAACCUACCUAUAAGACUGGGAUAACUUCGGGAAACCGGAGCUAAUACCGGAUGAUAUUUUGAACCGCAUGGUUCAAAAGUGAAAGACGGUUUUGCUGUCACUUAUAGAUGGAUCCGCGCUGCAUUAGCUAGUUGGUAAGGUAACGGCUUACCAAGGCAACGAUGCAUAGCCGACCUGAGAGGGUGAUCGGCCACACUGGAACUGAGACACGGUCCAGACUCCUACGGGAGGCAGCAGUAGGGAAUCUUCCGCAAUGGGCGAAAGCCUGACGGAGCAACGCCGCGUGAGUGAUGAAGGUCUUCGGAUCGUAAAACUCUGUUAUUAGGGAAGAACAUAUGUGUAAGUAACUGUACACAUCUUGACGGUACCUAAUCAGAAAGCCACGGCUAACUACGUG
RNAcentral lists this ribosomal RNA (497 nucleotides) under uncultured bacterium. RNAcentral's name for it is "partial 16S ribosomal RNA". It matches the Rfam family "Bacterial small subunit ribosomal RNA", at positions 28 to 507 of the family's 1533-position model. The record is from RNAcentral.